RNAcentral lists this unclassified non-coding RNA (257 nucleotides) under air metagenome. Its description in RNAcentral is "partial contains small subunit ribosomal RNA, internal transcribed spacer 1, and 5.8S ribosomal RNA". The stretch from base 1 to 46 matches the Rfam family "Eukaryotic small subunit ribosomal RNA", at positions 1786 to 1831 of the family's 1831-position model. The record is from RNAcentral.
AAGUCGUAACAAGGUUUCCGUAGGUGAACCUGCGGAAGGAUCAUUACCGAGACAGGGUCCUUCGGGGCCCGACCUCCAACCCUUUGUCUACCUACCACUGUUGCCUCGGCGGGCCGCCGAUGCCUUCACGGGCGUCGCCGUCGGCUCUUGGGCUCUCGAGCGCCCGCCGCUAGGCCUAAAUUAAACUCAUGUAAACACAGUUUUCUGAGAGCAAGUUAAAUACUUCAAAACUUUCAACAACGGAUCUCUUGGUUCUG